This 430-nucleotide long non-coding RNA is filed under the name Pogona vitticeps (central bearded dragon). RNAcentral's name for it is "lncRNA (ENSPVIG00000015052.1)". The record is from RNAcentral. Lineage: Eukaryota; Metazoa; Chordata; Lepidosauria; Squamata; Agamidae.
GGGGGGGGGGAGGGGGAGGGGGGGGGGGAGGGAAGGAGAAGAGCCAAGCUGUUCAGAAGACAAGGAAAAGUUAUGUGACUCCUGAUGAAAUAUUCAUACACCAGGCUGGAGAUCUCAGAAGAGGGUGGAUUGCCACUCUGUUGAAGGUCUCUUUAACCAGAGACAUUCUGUAUUGGAAAGACAGGAACACAGUUUCCCUUGGUAGUCUGCUGAGCUAAGUCUUGGCCAGUUCCAGCUAUAUUCACAUCUGAGAUCUGAGGGACAACUCGAGCCAGAAGAGGGAUGGCUUCAGGCUGUAGCAUUAAUGCUAUUAAGAUUACUUUUUUAUUAAUGUGAAUGUUUUUGAUGUACAUUUAUGACCUAAUUCUCUACAUGGAAGAGUUUUGCUUUACAAAAUAAAUACUGCUAAACCCAUAUAGGGGAAAUCUAA